ACAAACAUAGGAAAGUGAGUGUAAUUAAUAAAAUGGAUGUCACAUAUUUAAAGAAGAGUGGAGGUAAAUUAGCAAAGUGAGUGUUAAUAAUUUAAAGAAACUUACAAAACUAACCCUCAACUACAACUUUUAAAUAACAAAAGGUUGGUGGUUUUAGUCAAAGUCAAGUGGGUGUAGAUUGUCAAUCUAAUCUUCAGUAAUUUUAUGUUGGUGUAAAUUAGCAGUCUUAGAUACACAUAUUCACACACAUGAGAUCUCUAGCGCU
RNAcentral lists this long non-coding RNA (265 nucleotides) under Medicago truncatula (barrel medic). RNAcentral describes it as "long non-coding RNA (MTRU_LNC005358)". The record is from RNAcentral. Lineage: Eukaryota; Viridiplantae; Streptophyta; Magnoliopsida; Fabales; Fabaceae.